GAUGAACGCUGGCGGCGUGCUUAACACAUGCAAGUCGAACGGUGAAGGAGAGCUUGCUCUCCGGAUCAGUGGCGAACGGGUGAGUAACACGUGAGCAAUCUGCCCCUGACUCUGGGAUAAGCGCUGGAAACGGCGUCUAAUACCGGAUACGAGCUGCGAAGGCAUCUACAGCAGCUGGAAAGAACUUCGGUCAGGGAUGAGCGCGCGGCCUAUCAGCUAGUUGGUGAGGUAAUGGCUCACCAAGGCGUCGACGGGUAGCCGGCCUGAGAGGGUGACCGGCCACACUGGGACUGAGACACGGCCCAGACUCCUACGGGAGGCAGCAGUGGGGAAUAUUGCACAAUGGGCGCAAGCCUGAUGCAGCAACGCCGCGUGAGGGACGACGGCCUUCGGGUUGUAAACCUCUUUUAGCAGGGAAGAAGCGAAAGUGACGGUACCUGCAGAAAAAGCACCGGCUAACUACGUGCCAGCCGCCGCCGUAA
RNAcentral lists this ribosomal RNA (482 nucleotides) under uncultured bacterium. Its description in RNAcentral is "partial 16S ribosomal RNA". It matches the Rfam family "Bacterial small subunit ribosomal RNA", at positions 28 to 523 of the family's 1533-position model. The record is from RNAcentral.